GAUUGAACGCUGGCGGCAUGCCUUACACAUGCAAGUCGAACGGCAGCACGGGGGCAACCCUGGUGGCGAGUGGCGAACGGGUGAGUAAUACAUCGGAACGUGUCCUGUAGCGGGGGAUAACCUCUCGAAAGAGAGGCUAAUACCGCAUACGACCUGUGGGUGAAAGAGGGGGAUCGCAAGACCUCUCACUAUAGGAGCGGCCGAUGUCGGAUUAGCUAGUUGGUGGGGAAAAGCCCACCAAGGCUACGAUCCGUAGCUGGUCUGAGAGGACGACCAGCCACACUGGAACUGAGACACGGUCCAGACUCCUACGGGAGGCAGCAGUGGGGAAUUUUGGACAAUGGGCGCAAGCCUGAUCCAGCCAUGCCGCGUGGGUGAAGAAGGCCU
RNAcentral lists this ribosomal RNA (387 nucleotides) under uncultured bacterium. RNAcentral's name for it is "bacterial SSU rRNA". It matches the Rfam family "Bacterial small subunit ribosomal RNA", at positions 27 to 417 of the family's 1533-position model. The record is from RNAcentral.